Molecule: unclassified non-coding RNA, 176 nt
Filed under: uncultured Eurotiomycetes
Lineage: Eukaryota; Fungi; Ascomycota; Eurotiomycetes
Description: sequence contains ITS2
Source: RNAcentral
UCCGCAAACUCAAGCACGGCUUGUUUGUUGAGCAAAUUUGUUCUGUUAAGGAACAGGCUUGAAAUGCAGUGGCGAAUGAUACCGACUGUGGUGCCCGAGUGCUUUGGGGCUUUGUCACACACUCUUGUGGCCCGGUCGGCGUUCUUGCCCCCCUUUUUUAGGGUUAUUGUUAGUUA